This is a long non-coding RNA of Triticum dicoccoides, 1747 nucleotides long. RefSeq lists it as uncharacterized. The record is from RefSeq and is a predicted model, not a curated record. The transcript has 2 exons. Lineage: Eukaryota; Viridiplantae; Streptophyta; Magnoliopsida; Poales; Poaceae.
AAAAACCUGCACCCACGCGACCGCUUGCCCAUUGCCCUCCACAGAAAUCUUAUCCCCACCCCACGCGAGAUCUAUCCAGUUCCUUCCCCUGUCGCCGUUCUCUCUCUCCGCCUCUCUGAAUCCUCGACAUCCCGGCGACUACAGUUGAGGGCGCGGAGUCAUGCAAGCGGAGUGCUGCGUCCAUGGACAAACUCCACCCCCUUCUCAUUCCUGCAGUCAUGGAUGAACUCCAUCCCCUUCGUCACCCACACUUAGCCCUCUUUUUUCCCUCAACUGUUGAAGAAGUUGCAACCGGCCAUGAAAAAGUUGCGUCCACAGUGGGAGGUGCUGGAACCUGCCAGGGAAAAAGCUACAACCACAUCAAUUUGAGGUGCUGGAUUUGACAUGGUGGUGCAAGUCGAUGUCGGCGGUGAGCCCGAGACGGGGACCCUGGGAUGCGGCAACCAUGGCUAGAGGGCGCUGGAACCCUCCUCUGUUCAAGCUCUGCCGCAAUCAUGGCGAGCGGAGGUAGCCGAGGCAAGUGCCGGGCACGGCAGCGAGCGAGGGUGACGGGCGCGGUGGCGCGGUGGCAACCAAGCAUGGGAAGACAAGGACAAGCGCGGGGAGCCGGCGAGCGCAUGGGAUCUGGCAUGUGCGCACGCUGCCCUUUUUUUCGUGUUUCCUGUGCGUGUUUGACCUUUGAAACGAAGUAAUCAAACGGUUGAGAAAGGAUGUAUCGGACGCUUGGCAGCCGACCGGCCCAAAUUUGGGCUGGCGCGCCAGCGCCUAUCAGCGCCCUUUUCUUUACGCGAGACCAUCCAUCGUUGAAAGAAGACCAAAGAAAUUGGGCUACAGGCUCCUGCCCUCAUGCACGCCGCCGCCAAAAUCCCAUGACUACCGCGAGCUCUCCUACCCUCACGCACGCAGCCGCCGUCGCUCUCAGGUUCAGCCGAGCACUGCAUGAUUUCUUCGUCCUGCAUAAGGAUAACGUCAGGGAUCCCCUGCCAUGGAUGCAAGAUUGGAACCAUGUUAAGAUCUUCUAUGGGAGAGGAAGAUAUGCGCAUGGUGACCAAGUAAAGCAGAAGCAACAAGACGACGAGAAACCUGGUAUGCAUGUGGACGGCCGCGACACUGGGACGUACGUGUUUGGUGUACGUACUUGAUGAGUAACAUUGCUUAUUGGUAAUUGAUGAGCUCCUGGUGCUAUCUCUUACUAUCUGAAAGAUUGUGUGAAGAAAAUUAAGCUGGCCGUGCUACAACAUGGAUACCAUGGAAUUCACGCAGAGCUCGCUCGCUUUCCUUUAGGUAUAGGAUAGGGUGAUUGGGAGAAAGGCAGGCGAAAAUCGAGCAGGUGUCUACGGGGCCAUGCAGCCAUCGAGCCGAGCGGGGUAGUGCCUUGCGAGCAGGAGAGAAGGCCGUACAAUUCUUCGCAAGGACAUGGUUGAUGGAGCAGUCAGCAGACAAUGCAUAGUAGAUCCUGUUUUGUUAAGAUCUUGGUCAUGUUUUGUUAAGAUCUUCUCUGGGAGAGGAAGAUGCCCAUAGUGACCAAAGUAAGGCAGAAGCAAAGACGACGAGAAACCUGGCAUGCACGUGGACGGCUGCGAGGCUGCGACGCUGAGACGUAUGUGUUCGGUGUACGUACUUGAUGAGUAACAUUGUCUAUUAUACUGGUCGUUCUGCAGGCAUAGGCCUUUCAUGUACGCCUGUACUCGAUUCAUGAUGCAAAAUUGUUUAGGUCUGUCCAGCUGGGCAGUGAGAUUUGCGUGAA